This 310-nucleotide long non-coding RNA is filed under the name Mytilus galloprovincialis (Mediterranean mussel). The record is from RNAcentral. Lineage: Eukaryota; Metazoa; Mollusca; Bivalvia; Mytilida; Mytilidae.
UGCUUGCAUACACUUUAUUUUAUCCUGAUGGAUAGUUAUCUUAUUUGCUAUCAUACCACAUCUCCACUGUUUUUAUCUAAAAAAAAAGCUAGCACCAACAAAAGAUGAAUGGACGGUUUAUUUUAUUGAACUUACACAAUUUCAACCUAACAACAAAUAAGACAACAGUCGUUAGUAGUAUAACGAUAUAUAAAUGUAUUUAGGAUAAUAUGGUUGAAAAAAACUUUUUGUACAAAAUCGAAAAGCGGUACGCAACGAGGCCUUCUGAACUGAAUUAACGGCAUAUAUUUAAUAAUAUUUGAUAAGUAAG